ACCCUGAUCAGCAAGUCUCUUGUCAACAAUUGUCUCCACAUUACCUUUCUCAAACUCUCCAUAAGCCCACUCUGAGAACCUCUUUUGAUUGAUUUCUUCUGAGACUUCAAAGUUCCUCCUCCCACUCACAAGCUCCAACAAAACCAUACCAUAACUGUAAAGAUCAGAUUUUGAUGUUAUUGGGAGGUUUGCUAGCCAUUCUGGUGCCAAAUAUCCUCUCGCCUCUAAUGGUAGUCAAGGACCGGUACCUUUGAUCCUUUGUGCUUAUAAGCUUCGCUAGGCCAAAAUCAGACACCUUGGCAUUGAAAUUCGCAUCCAAGAGAAUGUUUUCUGGCUUUAUAUCACAGUGAACAAUGCAAUCUCGACAUUCCUCAUGAAGAUAAGUGAUUCCUCUUGCAGUCCCAAGAGCAAUGUUGAACCUGCGCUUCCAAUUCAAUAAUUUCCCUGACUGAUCUUCGGUCGUGAACAGGAAAUGAUCCAAAGAACCAUUUUUCAUGAACUCGUAUACUAAAAGCCUGUGACGCCCUUCGGAGCAAAAGCCAAUCAAUCUAACCAGAUUCAAAUGGUGAGUACUGCUUAUAGUUGCAACCUCCAUCCGAAACUGUCUCUCGCCUUGUUCAAUUCCCUCAAGUUGCUUUGCUGCAACUACUGUUCUGUUAGCAAGAACUCCUCUAUAAACAGCUCCAAACCCUCCUGCUCCAAGCUUAUCCUUAAACCCCUUCGUCCAGCGAUGCAGAUCCUUGUAAGAAAAGUGGACGGGAGCACCUGAGGCAUAAUCAAGAAGUGUAUACUGAGCCCACACACCUCCAAAUUUGGGACUAUUUUUGCAACAAAACCACCAAAACAAACCCACUAAAGCAGCCAAACCCAAAAGAGUGCCUGCAACCAAGACACCAACUUCCCAACCCCGCGAUUCCCGGAACUUUUUAUCUCCACCAAUCUGGUCAGAAGGCAAAGGAUUUGGUUGCACUGGUCCACAAACCUUAAUAUAAGAAGUACCAAGAAGCACUGGACCCUGAUAUCCACUAACAAAAUCAGGUGUGCUUUUCGUGUAACAAUAUAUAUAUGUGUCUGAUGUAGAAGUGCAAGCCACGCAAGAAGGGCUUGAUAAACAGUUCCCUCUGCAAGCUGUUAUCCCAGUGUUAAGAAUUUGCUCAGCCUGGAAACUAAGAAAUUUAGUCUGCUUUAACUCCAGCAUUGUUACGUUCCCUGCACAAUGCGCAACCUCCACUUUUCUCUUACACCCUUUUCUACUAUCAUUCAUAUCCACAGCCUCAAAAUUCAGAGAUGGGCAUUUGCAAAUCGGACUAAAACUUGACUCGUUAUAACUACAGAUCCCCAUGUUUCCACAGUAUCCAUAAACCUGACACUGAUCUGCUAAAGCUGCCCAUGUCAUAGCUGUAGUUCCACCACUAUACAUUCUCAGAUUCCCAUCGCUACCUAACCUCAAAAAUCUCAUUAUCUCACCCCCUUCUCCAUAAUCAUUGCCAAAAGCAACAGACAUCCGCGAACCAGCAUCUAAAAGAUUUAAAAUCCCAUUUGGCUGCAACUGCAAGGUUGGAGGAGUCAACUUCAAAGCAGAACUCAAGCCUUGAUUCCAGUACACAACACGUCGUUCCAUGUCAAGCUCAUAUUUCCACUGCUUAGAAGCCGGAAAGAGUAAACCCCUGAUCGCAAAGUUUGGUUUACAGUUAAAUUCUGUGACGGGACAAGAGUGUCGGUUGGGUUUUCAAAACUGGACCAGACAUUGAUACUGCCGGCUUUCAGUACCAGGUUUCCAGUAUCAUCAAGUGAAGCAGAAGUGACACCAAGGUUGGCAGUGUUGGAGGUCCACACGGUGGCACCUGAUCCGUUGGUGAGACGGAGAUUUCCGUUGGGGAGGAACUGGAAUUCUCCACCGUAGUCAAUGACAGCUGCAGAGGCAGUGCCAGCAACAACAUUGGCAGUUGUCCAGAUGGAAACUCCAGCAGUUCUAUGGGAGAUGGAAACGGUGUAGGAAGUGGGAUCCACUUGGGUAAAGCCUAGAAAGAAAGUGUUGUUUGGAGACGACCAGGUUUGGCUUGUGUUGGAGGCAUAAAGAGAGGAGCCUGGUGGUAUGUUUGCUGUGGAAGUAGUGGUGAAGACGAGAAGGAGAGGAAGCUGGAGGGAGAAGAGAACAGAAGUUCAUUAUUUUAUUUUUAUUUUUUUGUGGGCACAAUUGAGGCUGAGUGGUUAGUUGAUUUCUCGAUGUCUUAUAAAUGCAAAAGAAGUGAGGAUUUUCCCAUGUCUAACGUUGGACUAUUUUGUUUUUCCAGGAAAAAAAAAAAAGACAAAGAAAAGAAGUAAAACCAAACCACGGAAAAAUUGGUUUAGAACCUUGAGAAAAUUCAUUGCGUAUGCCGUAAGGCCAGACAGAAACACAGAACACAAGACUUUGAACAAGGAAUACAGCCUCAAGAACCGAAGGUCUCUAGUACUUUCUAGUGCUGACCGUUUCUCAUAGAAUGAUUUUCUAAUUCUCCUUUACACUUGUUAACUAUUAAAGUAAUUUACUCUAAAGUUUAGAUUAUAAUCUUUAUAUUAAUAAGCUCUUAACUUUAAGAAUGUAAUAUUUAUACUUGUAACUACUCAUGAUAUAUUAAAUAUAUGGGAUAUAUAGUCAUUAAAGCUUGAUGGAAGCUUUGGCUAUAAAUACUGUUAUUUAUCCUCAUAUUAAUUUACUUAAUUUCCUAAAGUUUUACACCAUUUAUAUAGAGUGAAUAAAGUUUAGAAAUGUCAAAUAUAUAUAAAAGAGAACAGUGAAUACGUAGGAACAUUAAUAACUGGAGGUAUUUUUUUUAUUAUUAAAUCUUAUAAUUUUGUUAUAAACAUAUUUAUUCCGCAUCAUAGAAUUGUUAAUUAAGUUUUACAAGUGCUUGAAAAAAAAAAAAAAAAAAAGGAGAGCUCGUAAGGAGACCUGGAAUCAAAGCACAUUCACACAAAUAAAAGAUAUUUCCCGCAGAUGAAACUCAUUAUGACUUCGAAUGGACUAGACAAAGGUAUGUUAUUUGGUCUUUUCUAGUUAUUACAAAAUUGUUCGAGUGUAUGUAAGUUUUUUUAAUUUUUUUCAUAGUAAAUUAAUGUAUUGACUCCUAAGAUCAACAAUAUUUAUAAAUGUUGACCUAUGUUUAUUUUUUCUUUUCAAAACUUUAAAGCAAUGAAAUUACUUAUUUAGUUCUAGGGUCAAAAAAGUAUUAAUUGUCACCAAGAGUUUUUUUUUUUUUUUUAGAAUAUAGUAAAAAUAUAUUUUUAUCUUAGAAAAAACAAAUAACAAGGCAUGCAUUAGGUAUUUUUAUCUUUUCACACAAGUUUUUUUUAUGAUAUAUUAUUAUUUUUAAUUUAGUUUUUAUUUUUUAACUUUAGAUUUUUCCCUUAACUUUUUUUUGUUAAAGUUUUAUUGCCACAAAGAAAUAGGUGAGGGUUUGUUUGGCUUUGCAAAGUCACAUCAUAUUAUCAUAUUAUGCCUCAACUUUCAAUUAAAUACAAAUGUUUGGUACGUCUUUUUAAAUAUAUAGAAACCACUUAAAAGCUUUAAUUUUUAAGAACAUGAGAUUAAUUACCAGCUUUUUUCAAAAAUUAAUUUUUUUUUACUAUAAUUUUUGUUUUAUUCUUAUUUUACAAAAUUAUCCUCCAACCAAGAGUGAAUGCAUGUUAAAGACUUGGAUGCGCUGUAACCUAAAUCAAAAUUUUAUUAAUAUUGUUUAACUAGUUUUAUGUAAAAUAAAUUUAUAAUUCUUGAUUGAAUUAUAAAACAAUUCUGAAAUUUUACAUGGAGUCUUCUAAUAUAAUGCUUUAGCUUGGGUUAAAAUUUCAGAAUUUUUAGAAAAAUUCAGAAAUUUAAUAAAAAAAAUCAUAAUUUGAUCAGUUUUAUAUUAUUGGAUGUAAUUUUUAAAUCAGCCAUCAAAUUGAGCUGAAAUUUUAUAAGGAAUCUUAGAAAAUAUUUAAUAAAAUCUGGUUAAAAUUUUAGAAUUAAAAAAACUUGAUAGUGUUAAAAAAAAACAUCAAAUAAAAACAAAAUAACUCAUUAAAAAUAAAAUAAGUUAAUAAUUGAUCUUUAAAAAAAUUUAUAUAUUUAUUUAAUAGCACAUAACAGAAAACAUUUAUGGCUCCAACCUUUCAAGAUAAUUAUGGUCGUAUUAUAUAUAAAUCCCAUUGUCUUUUAUAUAGGUGUAUAUAAGCUAUUUGGUUUUUCUUUUUUCUUUCUUUCUUUCUUCGUUAUUUCCAUUGUCUUCGUUACUGGUCUAGAUUUGGACCCUGUCAUCUGCGUUCUUUUGCUCUCUGUCUCCACUAAUUCUUGUUUUUUUGGUUUCUGGAUUUGUUUUACGUUGUGCAAUCGCUUCUUUGGUUCUUGGUUUGUUUCUAUGGUGGUUGUGAGAGGCUUCCCAGGUGUGCUUCACCUCACAUAGUUUGUCACUCUCAUGCUCUUGUUUGUUUUACCUCGGUUGCAUGUUUUUGUUUGAGUCUCUUUUCCAUGGACCGUUGGUUUUGACAAAGUUGGGGUUUUGAGUAGCGGUAAUUAUUUUCGAUUCUUCAGUUUUUAUCAAAAAAAGUCACCAAACCAAUUUUUUUUCAAAAAAAUCGGAAUCGAUUCAAACCGACCGGUUUCAAUUCGGUUCGGUUAUUUUAGAAUAAAAACCGGUUUUUCCAGUUUAGCUCGAUUUUUUUUUGUUUUGUCAGUUUCAAUUCGAUACGAUUUUUUCGGUUUAAGACUUAUAAAACCAAACCGAACAGGUUGGUUUUUUAAAAAUUCUAAUCUGUUUAAUUGGGUUUUUUUCACGGUUUGGUUUUUUCAGUUAUUUUUUCCCGGUUUAAGCAGUUUUUUAGUUUUUUUACUCACCCCUAAUUUAAUUUUGAAUGCAAUAAGUGAAGAGGAGAGGAAUAAAUGUUUCAAAGUAGUCCUAGUUUGGAAGAAAUAUAAACAAAUGGUUUAGAGGUUUUUGAAAAAUAAUAUGGUUUGUUGAAAAUUGAGGUAGAAUCACAUUGGUUAGAAAAGUAUUUGAAAAAUACUACAAUUUGGACACAAUUAUCUUUUUAAAAAAUCAAUUCAAAAUUUUAUGAAUUUUAUGAAAAUAUAAUAGUUAAAAGAUGAGAUUCAAGAUAUAUGUGAUGGGAAAAACAAGAUAUAUGUGAUGGGAAAAAGAAAUGAAGGAAAAAAAAUAAGUUAUUACGGACUCACCAGGUUUUGUUUUUUAUAUAUUCAAUAUAAUUAAAAAAAUCUCAAUGAAAUAAUUAUAACCAUACAUUAAAAGAAUAACAAAUAAAGUCAUAAUUAACCUUAAAUUACUUGGCCAUUUUAAUGUAUUAUCCUAUGAGAAAAGCUUCCACUUAUUUCUUUCAUUGUUGUUAAGACAUUUCUUUGCACUUUAAAGUUUCGUAAGAACAUAGUCUUUUCCCCUUUUUAUUCUUACAACAACUUAAAAAGUACUUUAUAUUGAAAAACCAUAAACCUCAAUUCCCAAUAAAUCAAAUGUUGAAAAAUAAGAUCAAUAAAAAUAAUCAAUUACACAAAAUGAACUAAAAUAGAAAAAAAAAUUGAUAAUUAAAAGAGCAAGGAUGAAAAUGAAAAUAAAAAAUAAAUUAGAAGGCAAUUAAAUUUUUUCAAUUAGAGGGGUUAAAGUGGAAAGAAAAAUAACUUUAAUAAAAGAAAAAAAUCAAAAGAAUAGGGACCAAAUUGAAAAAAAUAAUACACCAUAAACUUGGAUUAAAUGAUAAAAUUAAAAACCAAUAAAAUUUUUAUAGAAAAACCAAGGAAAAAUUAAAAUUAAAAGAAUAAGAACCAAAUUGGAAACAUAUAUAACAUAUAACAAAUUGUAAUUGAAGGACUAUAUUGAAAUAAAAAAACACAUUUUACCAAAGUGUUAAGAAAAAAAAUUAAAAAUCAAAAUAAUAAGAUUUGAAGUUGAAGUAUAAAAAAUAAAGAGGAUUAACCUGUGAUUUUUUGAGGGGGAGAGAUGAAAAAAAAAAAAGGCUCAUUAGUAACAAACCACCUCUCCGUCACCGAAAUGAGCUGCAUCAAGAGAAAGAAAACAUGGCGUCACUUUCAAUGACAUGACAAAAGGACAAGUUUUGCCACUAAGAGGUGUUGUAGGCGCCACCUAGUAUGCACGAGUGCCUUUAACAGACACCAACAAUUUUUAUUUUAUUUUAAUAUUAAUUGAUCUUGUUUAAAAGAUUAAAUCGCACUCAAUGAACUAGAAGAGAACAAAAAAGGCAAGGUUGUUUUUCUUACUUUAAGAGAAUUUUAGUAACUUAACUAUGAAUUCAAAAGUAAAAAUUCAAAACUGCUCCUACAUACAAAGAUUUAUUUUCUUCUUUUUCCUUUUUUUUUUAAUCUCCAAGGGCAUUUUUGUCUUUAUAUUAUUCAUAAAAUAAUUAAAAGAUCUUGUUGCCCCGUCAACCAAGUCAAAGUUUUUGGAAUUGAAAGGCAAGACCAUAAAUUAAUGGUUGGGCCGAUCUCGGCCUAGCAUUUAUUUAUUUACUUUUAGGGGUUGGGUUGGACCUAGCCCAUAAAUUUAGGAUGGGCCAGAUACAACCCAACCCAACGUCCGCUGCAUGAGUUGUGGGCGUGAAUUAUAAUUCACUCCCAUUGUUCAUGUGAACAGUAGGGCGUGAAUUAUAAUUCACGCCUACUGUUCACGUAGUGAACAACAUGGAGAAGAAGAGGAAGAGGAAAAGGAAAGUUACCUAGCGUGGAGGUGGUCUAACCGAGGAGGACGACGCAGUGCAAGCGGUGGUAACGGUGGAGAGUUGAGCCGCCGCGGUUGUUGUUGCUCGCGUUGCAGGUGCUGCUGUGACGGUCGGUGCUGGGGUUGCUUGGGGUUAGAGCGGAUGAGAAGGGUUUCGCCGCCUCUGCUGCAGUUGGUAAGGGUGGAAGCCGCUGUAAAUGGUGGUUGCAAUCACUGUUAGGGUGGCGGUGGUAGAGAGAGAAAAAAAGUUUCACAAAGAAGAGAGAGAGAGAGAGAGAGGUGGUGCCACCACGUGAGGUUGUUGAGUGGCUGGCUGUGAUGUAUAAUGUGCUGGGAAGGACGGUGGUGAGAGUGGUGGCGGCCGAAGGUGCGGCUAAGAAGGAGAAAGCAGAAAAGGAUGAAAACAGGGGAGAAAGGCUGAUUUUUUGUCAACUUUGCACUUGAUUCCCCCCCCUAGGCCAUCAACUUCGUCUCUAUUUAUAAGCGGUGGAAGAGGGCAAUCUUGUCUACAUUGGGGAAAAAUUUCAGCCCUUGAUUCGGUUGGGAAGGAUCCCAACCGUUGGCUCAAAGUGAGCAUCAUGACCUGUUCAAUUCGCAGAAAAGGUUGCCCGAGUUGGCCUGAUUAGGCCGGCGUCAGCACCGUCUCGUUGACAUUUAGACUGAAAUGCUCAGUUGGAGUUGUAAAGAAACUGUGGGGGAUCAUUUGCGUGCAUUUUUUUGUUAGAUUUGAUGGAGAAAAGAAGCAUUAAAUGCUCCUGAAAAGUAGCCGUCUAGGCAGCAUUCACAGGCGAAAUCGGGGAAGACAAUGAAUAGUACAAGACGACGCGUUGUCUUUUUUUUUUUUUUACACAAAACGGCGCCGUUUUGGAUUGAAUUAGGGAGUUUAACUGAUUUUCAAUGUAAUCCUCCAGCUUUCAAUUGACUUCAAUUGAACCCCUAAUUGGCCAUAAACUUUUGAUUUAAUACAAUUAAGCCCCUGAUGAACUUCAAUUUGAACCCUGAAGUUACGCACCUUUUACAACAUGGUCCUUGGUCUCGGAUUUGGUCAAUUUAACCCCUAAUUGACCAUUAAACUUUCAAUUUCUUCAAUUUCACCCCUAAAGUUUGGCGCCUGUUGCGAAUUGGUCCCUGAUCUCGGAUUUCUUCAAUUUAACCCCUAAUUGACCCCAAAACUUCAAUCUUCUUGCAAUUUGGCCCUCACUUUCAAUCAAUUAACUUGGUAAAAAUUAAAUUUGGUCUUUUAAAAUUUCAAUCUUCUCAAUUAAGCCCAAAUUAAGCUCCCAAGCUUAAUUUUUCACCAAUUAAGCCCCAAAUAAAAUUAAUUUGACCCAUUUAAAGUAUAAUUAAGUCCUUGCACUUAAUUAAAUCCUUUAAUUGAAUCAAAAUUAAUUCUCAAAUAUAAUUAAAAUUCAAUUUGGCCAAUGAUUAAAUCAAAUUGGCCUAUUAAAAAUUUAAUUAUGUCCUUGAACUUAAUUUUUCACUAAUUAAGCCUGAAAUAAAAUUAAUUUGACCCAUUUAAAGUAUAAUUAAGUCCUUGCACUUAAUUAAAUCCUUUAAUUGAAUCAAAAUUAAUUCUCAAACAUAGUUAAAAUUUAAUUUGGCCCAUGAUUAAAUCAAAUUGGCCUAUCAAAUUGGCAAAUUCGUCUAAUAAUCAUUUAAUUUGACCUUGAAUUUGCAAUGUUUUUCCAUUUUUUGGGCAUAAUGGGGUACAAUUAGGCCUUGAAUUUCCUCCAAAAAUUACAGCUUGAUUUCCCCGUCUACUUUCUGCAUAUUGCUAGCCUUUAUCUUAUUUUUUUAUUUUUAUUUUGAAAAAAAAAAUAUUUUUGAGGAAUAACCAAGAAUUGAGUUAUUACAAUGCACACGAGAUUUGCAUACCAUCUUGAGGCAAACAACUUUGGUAGAGAAUAAUUGAGCAAACGUUUACCUUAAAAAAUUUAUGCUUGUGUAGUUACAAGUUUGUUGAACAGAAAUCGGGCUCGUGGAAAGCAUGAAGUCUAAUGAGAUUUUAUUUCAAAUGAUUCCAACAAUGAUGGAUAUGGCCUCUCCAUAAUCCUCUCUGAAACUAUAGGGGAUAUGCCUGCAGUUCAAAAUGAUGAAGAUAAAGAGGGUGGUGGAGCUGAGGCUUCACUAUUGGUGGGAGGAACCACUGGUGGUGGCUUUAAAACACUCAGAGGGGAUAAAACACGAAGUUUUAUUACAAAAAACAGAAGCUUAACAAUAACAAUAAAGCUUUACAAUACACACCCUCUCUCUCUCUCUAUCUAUUGUUUUUCUCUUCUCUCCACACUUAUAAUAACCUUAGCUUAGAUGCUUAUUUAUACACAAAUUCAGUCGGCUCAAAAUUCAACCGUCAUGGUGUGAAAAAUGGUUGGCGGCCAAUGGUGUGAAUGCGGCUAGGCGGUGGCAGCUGGUGGCUGGCGGCUGGUCGGUGACAGCUGGUGGCCGGUGAGGCGGUGGUUGCCUUCCUUGACCUUCUGGAUGUUGAGUUUAAUAUUCAACAAAUCUCCCCCUUAAACUCAAUCGAGGGAUGUCAUGCCUAGCAUGUACUUUAAUCUGAUAAAUACUUCUCUUUUCAAUGGCUUUGUGAAGAUGUCUGCAACUUGAUCAUUUGUGUUGCAAGAUAUCAGUUGAACUUCUUCAUUCUUCACAUGUUCCCGGAUAAAGUGAUGACGUGUAUCAAUAUGUUUGCUCCUCUCAUGAUACACUGGAUUCUUUGCCAAUGCGAUUGCUGAUCGGUUGUCAAUAUAAAUCUCCGUAGGAUUUUCUUGAGGAAAUCCCAAAAACUUCAGCAUAUUCCUUAACCAUAUUGAGUGGCAUACGGCUGAGUUGGCAGCUACAUAUUCAGCUUCACAGCUUGAUAACGUGACAAUCGAUUGCUUCUUGGAUGACCAUGUGAAAGAUGUGUCUCCCAUGAAAAAGACAAACCCUGUUGUGCUUUUCCUUUCAUCCAAAUCUCUACCCCAAUCACUAUCCGAGUAGCCUACAAGAUUAAAGUCUUUACUUGAGGUAUAAAACAUACCUUCAUUCAUUGUGCCUUUGAUGUAGCGAAGAAUUCUCUUGGCUGCAUUCAAAUGAGACUGGUCUGGUGUCUCCAUGUAUCUGCUGACGAGUCCGACUCCGUAGAGUAUAUCUGGUCUGGUACAUGUCAAGUACCUUAAGCUUCCUCAAUUCCACUCCAUUCUCAACUGGAGUUGAUACCGGAUUGCAGCUUUCCAUCUUGAACCUUUCACGAAUAUCUUUGGCGUAACCGCUUUGGGAUACAAAAAUCCCUUCUUCCUUCUGCGUUACUUCUAAGCCAAGAAAAUGUGACAUUAGACCAAUGUCAAUCAUUUCAAACUCCUGUACCAUGCUUUGUUUGAAGUCGUCAAACAUGGUAGGGUUGUUGCCGGUGAAUAUCAAAUCAUCAACAUACAGGCACGCAAAUAAGAUGCUGCCAUCUGCUCCUUUCUUCACAUAUAUAGCGUGUUCAUAUGGACAUUUCUCAAAUCCAUUAUCUUGAAAAUACCUGUCAAUUCUGGUAUUCCAAGCACGCGGAGCUUGCUUCAAACCAUAGAGAGCCUUCUUCAACUUGUAUACUUUGCCUUCAUUUUCAGCAUCAAUGUAUCCAAGUGGUUGUUCAACAUAGAUUUCUUCUUCUAGGAAGCCAUUCAGAAAUGCUGACUUCACAUCGAGUUGAUAGAUCUUCCAUCUAUGUUGUGCAGCUAGUGAGAUCAUCAGUCUGAUUGUCUCUAGCCGGGCUACUGGAGCAAAUAUUUCUCCAUAGUCAAUGCCUUCUCUCUGUUUGUAGCCUUUAGCCACUAAUCUGGCUUUGUAUCUUUGCACUUCUCCUUUGGCAUUCUUCUUCGUCUUGUAGACCCAUUUGACACCUAUUGCUUUCUUGUUUUCUGGUAGAUAAGUCAGCUUCCAGGUAUCAUUCUUCUCAAUGGCAUGUAUUUCUUCAUCCAUUGCUGUUAUCCAUUUCUCUUCUGUGACAGCUUCAUUGAAGCUUAAUGGGUCACUAUCUGCAAAGAAACAAAAUAAAUUUGUAUCUUCCAUAACUUGAGUGGCAUCAUACAGCUCUUCAAGAUUCCGCAUCCUUCUUGGUCUUCUGAUGAGAUGCUGAUGGUGGUGUUGAUGAUGAUGCUCCUGGUGUAUUCCUCCUGUUGAAUACAGGGAAUCUGUGCACCGGACUUUGUGGUUCAGCUGCUGGCAUAAUCACCGGAUUUUGUGGUUCAGCUGCUGGCACAAUCGGUUCUUCUAUAAGUACUGUUGGUACUUCUUCACCUUCAAGGAUCAAAUCAGUGUUGAUCCAUCUGACUGCUUCUUGAUCAUCAUUCCAUGCCCAAGAUUUAUCUUCUUCAAAGAUAACAUCUCUACUCGUAAUCACCUUCUUCGUGAUGGGAUUAUACAGCCUGUAUCCCAUCCUUCUUUCACCAUAUCCGACAAAGAUGCAUUUCUCGCUCUUAUCAUUGAGCUUUCUCCUUCUUGCAUCUGGGAUCUUUGCAUAUGCCACACAACCAAAAACUCGUAGAUGAGUUACACUUGGUUUGUGACCACUCCAUGCUUCUUCUGGAGUGAUUCCUUGCAAACUUCUGGUUGGGCAGCGAUUCAACAGAUACACUGCACAUGAUACAGCUUCAGCCCAGUAUUGCUUGGGCAACUUCUUUGCUUUGAGCAGACUUCUAGCCAUGUCAAGAAUUGUGCGAUUCUUCCUUUCUGCUACACCAUUCAGCUGUGGUGUAUAAGCUGGCGUCGUCUGAUGUCUAAUGCCUUGUUGUGUACAAUAGGCUUCAAAGUCAUUGGCUGUAUAUUCUCCACCUUGAUCAGAUCUCACUGUUCUGAUCGUGUAACCAGUUUGCUUCUCCACAAUUGCUUUAAAAUCUUUAAAACAAUUGAAUACUUCUGACUUCCUCUUCAGAAAGUAUAUCCACGUCUUUCUACUAAAAUCAUCAGUAAAAGUGAGGAAGUACCUAUUUUGUCCAGUCGACAUAGGCGUAAUUGGGCCACACACAUCUGUGUGUACUAACUCCAGUGGCCUCUUUGCUCUCCAGUUGACUUCUUUGGCAAAACUGGAUCUGUGAUGUUUGCUGAGGACACAACUCUCACAGACUUCAUCUGGAUGAUCAAUGUGAGGCAAACCUUUGACCAUCUUCUUGCUUGCUAGCAUCUUCAGACUUGUGAAAUUCAGAUGUCCAAGCCUUAGGUGCCAAAGCCAUUCUUCACUGUUGGUGAUGGCUAGCAUCUUCAGACUUGUGAAAUUCAGAUGUCCAAGCCUUAGGUGCCAAAGCCAUUCUUCACUGUUGGUGAUGGCGCUCAAACACCUUGUUGCAUCAUACUGGAUGUUCAAAGGAAACAUCCUAUUCUUGGACAUUUUCACGUAGGCCAUUAAUCUCCCAUUGUUGUCUCUAAUUGCUAGAUGACAAUUCUUCGAGUAAAAAAUAUAUCCUCUCUCCAACAGUUGACCUAAGCUGAUCAGGUUCUGCUUUAUGGCUGGGACAUAAUAGACAUCGGCGAUGUAGCUGGAAUCGCCAUUCUUCAACUUAACUGGGAUGCUGCCUUUACCUUUGAAUGGAACCUUUGUGGUAUCUCCAAAAGUAACUAGACCUUGCUUGGUCUCCUCUAGAUCACGAAAUAACUCUCGGUAGCCGCACAUGUAAUUGCUGGCUCCAGUAUCUAGAUACCAUAUAUCCUCAUGUUUCUCAUCAUGUCCUUGUUGGACAAGAAAUGCAGUUUCUUCUCUAUCAUCCUUUUCUGCAUAGUUGACUUGCUCACGUAUCUCUAACGGAGUUUUCCUUCGGCAUUCAGUGCUAUAGUGCCCAAAUUGAUUGCAGCUAUAACAUUUGAUAUUCCUCUUGUCAUGGUUAUUGUAACCGCCUCCUCUUCCUCUAGGAGUGAAUGCUUGUUGUCCUCGGCCUCCUCUGGUGGUGCUUCUACCACCUCUUCCUCUGAAGUUUGUAUUCCAAGAUCCUCUUCCUCUUCCUUGGAAUCUAUGAAAUCCUCCUCUGGAUUGUUGACUUCCUGCUUGAGUGGUGUAGCCACCUGUUGAAGUCUCCCAUUGCUCAUAUCUGUCUUUGAAAGACAGCUUUGCUUGUAAGGCAUGCUCAAUGGCCUUAUCUUCAUUUCGCAUUACAAUCUUCUGCUCAUGAGCUUGCAAAGAACUCAUAAGUUUCAUCCACUAUCAACUUGUCCACUUCCUUGGACUCUUCAAUUGCGACAACAACAUGAUCAAAUUUUGGAUCUAUGGAUCUCAAAAUUUUCUCAAUAAUUCGAGUAUCUAUGAUGGCUUCUCCAUUUCUCCUCAUCUGAUUGACUAUCACCAUAAUCCUUGUAUGAUAAUCAGAAAUAGAUUCUGAGGACUUCAUUCGUAAUAAUUCGAAUUCUCCUCUCAAAGAUUGAAGACGAAUCUUCUUGAUUCUGUCAGCACCUUUGUAUUUUUUGUUGGAGAGCCUCCCAUAUAUCAUGUGACGUUUCAGCGGAAGCUAUUAUCUCGAAUGUAUCUUCAUCAAGACCUUGAUAGAUGAUGGUCUUUGCCUUGUUGUCCUUCUUUCUGUUGACUUUCAAAGCUUGCUUCUGUGCCUCUUGUAAAGCAUCUUCUCUUUCUUUGGAUUCUGGUUCAUCAUAACCAGUUUGUACAAUAUCCAAACACUCUUGUGACCCAAGGAAUGCCUUCAAUCUGAUGCACCAACUAUCAUAGUUGUCUUUGGUCAGCUUCGGGAUGAGUGUAUGUGUACCUUCUGUAGUCAUUUUGCUCUUUGAAUGACUAUAUCACCUUUCUGGGAGCCGAAUUUGGCCAAACGGACACUGUAGAUCGAUCCGGAAUGGUCCAAAUAGUAGGGAACCGGUCUUACUUUGUUGAAAUCGGGUCAAACAACAAUGGGUGAAAUCGGGAAUAUUCUCUCUCGGCUGCGGCUGGAAUACGACUCGGCUCGGCGCGGAGGACGGCUCGGCUUGUGGCUCGGCUGGACUCGGCUAUCGGCUCGGCUGGCGCUCGGCUUAGGCGGCUUACACGGCUCGAAUAUGGCGCGCGUGGACGACACUCGUCGUCUUCCUCUGGAGCGCGUGGGUGCGCGUGGGUUACAGUCACCGGAUCUUCAGACGGCGCGUGUGGAUCACCCCGGACUCCGAUCAGGCUGAUUUUUGCGGCAGUGAACUCGUCUUGAGGAGCUCUACACUGUGGAAUGAUCAAAACUUGUUUUUGACAAUUUUGAAAAUUCGGAUAUACCCCAAAACACUUCUGUUUUCCGACGAACGGGGCUCUGAUACCAAUUGUUGGUGGGAGGAACCACUGGUGGUGGCUUUAAAACACUCAGAGGGGAUAAAACACGAAGUUUUAUUACAAAAAACAGAAGCUUAACAAUAACAAUAAAGCUUUACAAUACACACCCUCUCUCUCUCUCUAUCUAUUGUUUUUCUCUUCUCUCCACACUUAUAAUAACCUUAGCUUAGAUGCUUAUUUAUACACAAAUUCAGUCGGCUCAAAAUUCAACCGUCAUGGUGUGAAAAAUGGUUGGCGGCCAAUGGUGUGAAUGCGGCUAGGCGGUGGCAGCUGGUGGCUGGCGGCUGGUCGGUGACAGCUGGUGGCCGGUGAGGCGGUGGUUGCUUUCCUUGACCUUCUGGAUGUUGAGUUUAAUAUUCAACAUUCACAAGUGCACUGAGCACUAUCUUUACUGCUCAAAUUCGUACUUGUUCCACUAGUAGAGCCUUUCAUCAAUGCCUUUGGUGCUGGUGGUCUUGCAAUCUCUAUAAUUCCUUCAAGCAUUUGCACAACUUUUCCCAUUGUUGGUCUUUGAGAGGGAUGCUCCUGAAUGCACCAAAAGCUAACCUGAACAGCUCUCGUCACUUGUUCCAUGUCCACACCCUGAUCAACAAGCCUCUUGUCAACAAUUGUCUCCACAUUACCUUUCUCAAACUCUCCAUAAGCCCACUCUGAGAACCUCUUUUGAUUGAUUUCUUCUGAGACUUCAAAGUUCCUCCUCCCACUCACAAUCUCUAACAAAACCAUACCAUAACUGUAAAGAUCAGAUUUUGAUGUUAUUGGGAGGUUUGCUAGCCAUUCUGGUGCCAAAUAUCCUCUCGUGCCUCUAAUGGUAGUCAAGGACCGGUACCUUUGAUCCUUUGUGCUUAUAAGCUUCGCAAGGCCAAAAUCAGACACCUUGGCAUUGAAAUUCGCAUCCAAGAGAAUGUUUUCUGGCUUUAUAUCACAGUGAACAAUGCAAUCUCGACAUUCCUCAUGAAGAUAAGUGAUUCCUCUUGCAGUCCCAAGAGCAAUGUUGAACCUGCGCUUCCAAUUCAAUAAUUUCCCUGACUGAUCUUCGGUCGUGAACAGGAAAUGAUCCAA
This 15021-nucleotide long non-coding RNA is filed under the name Populus tremula. RNAcentral's name for it is "long non-coding RNA (PTRE_LNC000803)". The record is from RNAcentral. Lineage: Eukaryota; Viridiplantae; Streptophyta; Magnoliopsida; Malpighiales; Salicaceae.